AUACAGAGGGUGCGAGCGUUAAUCGGAAUUACUGGGCGUAAAGCGCGCGUAGGCGGCUUGGUCAGUCGGAUGUGAAAGCCCCGGGCUCAACCUGGGAAUGGCAUUCGAUACUGCCAGGCUAGAGUAUGGGAGAGGGAAGUGGAAUUUCCGGUGUAGCGGUGAAAUGCGUAGAUAACGGAAGGAACACCAGUGGCGAAGGCGACUUCCUGGCCCAAUACUGACGCUGAGGUGCGAAAGCGUGGGGAGCGAACAGGAUUAGAAACCCCGUAGUCC
Molecule: ribosomal RNA, 273 nt
Filed under: uncultured bacterium
Lineage: Bacteria
Description: partial 16S ribosomal RNA
Rfam family: Bacterial small subunit ribosomal RNA
Source: RNAcentral